GGUAACUAGUCAAUGCUCAAUAGGUCAGCUGCCCGUCAUCAAACGGUAGUAGUUUGUGCUACAAAGUUAGCAGCCAUUUUAAAGGCUUCUACCAGCAAUUGAGUCAUUCAACCAAAGUUAAAAAAAAAAAAAAAAAGUUUGCAGACAUUUUUACCACAGUAGCUCAAUUUGUUACUGUAAUUAGCCGUGUAACAAUGUUUCAGUUUUAAGUAAAAGGCAGUUUUCUCCGAAAGAGCGUCUUCACUUGUUUUAUGCCUCUUUGGCAUACAAAUUAAGUUGCUUACAUCAAGCUAAGAUGUUACCUGUUUUUUAUUUUUUUAUUUUUUAAAGCUACAGAAAUUGUUCAGUUCCUUGUAUCAAGCUGAGUUUCAUAUCAGGUUUUUUAUUUUUUUUUAUUUUAUUUUUCUCCUACUUUAAACUGCCCUGAGGCAGUGGACUGAGUUAUUGGGAGGAAUGGACUUAGUAGUUUAGAGGAAGAAUGGACUUAGUCUUAGAAGAUCACGGAUUCAGCGACAUAUGAGGCCGAUGGUGAAGCGCGAGUGCGGUUGGACCAGAGGGCGAACCAGGCAGGACAGGACCCGAUCGUGUGGUUGGACCGGAGGGUGUACCAGGCAGGACAGGAUCAGAGGGGUCCAAAAGAGCAGCAGUGGUCACCAGAUGGCGCCAGAGGCAGGGUAGCACCAGCAAAGGUCCAGUGUUGAAGCAGUACAGCAGAUCCAGAGCAAGCCAGCCAAGAGGGUGGGACAGGGUGUCCUGAGUCUUCAUGCUGAGUUAAUCACAAAGGUGUUGGUUUGUAUAAUGGUAGAGGUAUUUGUAACAGGCCCUUUUUAUCAAAUUUCACUCUAAAACCUUUUGUAGGACCCAAUAUCUCGCACAGAUCUCUCUUCCCCUUUUUCAGGCUAUCUCUGUAAAGUGUUUCAUACCUUGAUCACCAAUCCUGUUUCGUGCUGACUUGCGUGGUGGUGUCCACUGGGACGAAUGCCUUGGUAGUGCGGUGGCGAGAGCAACACCUUAUCGGAAUUCUCUACCCCCUCUGCGAUCACAACUAGUUCCCCACCCUGCUGGAGAGAGGCUGGUCCCUUGUUCACUAGGCCUACUCGAGAAGUUUGUCUAAAUUCUUUUUCUCGUACAUGUGAAUGGUGGGUGGGAAGGGGAGGGGCGUGUUAACCAGUUUCUUCCUAGACUUCACAGCUCAAGUUUCCCUUCAAGUUUCCCUUCACAAUGGCUUGCUUGUAUAAGAAUCAGCCCAGUGUGCCAAACAUCAUUCAAGUGGACAAAUUGCCUCACAGGAUAGCAGCUCCUAAAGUAGUCUCCUGGUGUAGCCAGAGCACAUUUGGAAUGUGGUAAAUGUUUCUUUACUAGAAGUCAUUUGCAAUUCUGUACAGGCAUUCUUCUGUGGGUUGGGGCUGUGUCUUUGCUACUUUUGCAGAUUGUUAACCAGUCCUUCAGUAAGCUACAUCCAAGUCAUCGUCUUCACGGCAAUGCAUAAGGUGGAAAUCCUUCGUGUUCACAGUUGCGGUAUUUAAUAACUAUCGAAAAAAAUCUUACUACUUCCAGUUGUCCAUAGAAAAAGUAGCAUGUUGUAACACUUAUUUUGCAAUGCAUUGUAUUUUGGGUGGGGUCCUGUGGUGGAGGCUUUUUCCUUUGCAUUUUUCAGUGUGCUGUGUCCUGUGCGCUUUCAAAUUCCUGAGACCACCUGGAAGUCUCCUAACUCAUUGUAUGUACACGUUCCUUGCGCUUCGAGCAUCACGUAAGCUCAUUAAAUGUAUUCAUUUUUAAUGUUCAUUGUCUGGUUUAAAUCCUCCAUUGCAAUGCCUUUGCAAUUAGUUACAAUCCUUUGUAUUGAUAAUACAAGUGAACUAUUUGUAAAGGAUUUUCUACCUGCAUAAUAAAUGCAUAGCUUGUUGUGAUUGAAUACAGUAUUGGUAUGUAUUUGUUCUUUGGGGGGGCUUUUUUGGGGGAGCUCUUCUUGUGCUUUUCAGGUAUUUAAGCUUGGAGCUUUUGUAGAGCACGGAUGUGACCAGGGGUUGAAUGCUCCCUUUCAAAGUGGAAAUUGAAGGCAGAUAAGUGGAAUCCAUCAAAUAUUGAUACUGGAAUGCAGCUAAUUCCUAAAACCUACUUGAUGGGUUCUGUAUUUUGAAUGGGCUAAGCUGCCCUCAUCUCAAAAGCAAAUUGCUAUACAUAACUUUAUACAUAGCAUUGCUUUGUCUUUUUGUGCUGAGAGACUCAUUUGAUGGUGUAGUCAUAUCUGCAGUAAAGCAUUCGGGUAAGGAUAACAAUAGUCAGUUCUAUGAUUUUAUUUUUUUUCGUGGGGAAUUUUAUGGGUUGUAGGGGUUUUCUCUCUGAUCCUACAGAGCGGUCUACAAAGGAGGAUUGCGUGCUCUCCAUGACAUGAGAAUCUCGCUGACCUAUGAAAUCAACCGUCACAUUUGUCAGGUUUUGAUUACUUGGCAAUAUAGGUCCUCAGCUACAAGCCCUUGCGCAACUGUGCUAGUGGCAGAUGUCUGUCUUAAAAUGGAAAUAUGCCCACAAUCAUGCAACUGUGUGAAGUUUCGUAGCUGAGGAAAGCUGUGCAUUGUGCAGCUUGGAUUAGGUUUAAAAUGCAACGCAAAUGUGUUGCACUAAGUGCGUUGGUUGUGGUUGUUUGUAUCCCUGCACUUCUCUUUACAGAGCUCAGGUUGAGACUGAUGCAGGAAUGUCAUCUAACCCAGAGAAUAGUAAGAUUCUGACUUGGUCAAAAUGAACAAUUUUAGGCCUUGGAACUGGCUUUAUGUUAACCUCAUCAAUAUCAAUGCUUUACUCGUGAGUUCCUCUUUGGCCAGUGGGUGCCCUUGCUUUGCAUCUUAAAUUUAAGAUGAUUAGAAAUAAGUUUUCUGUGCUGGGUGUGUUGUGUAGAUCACUCUUUGUUUCAGAUUGUUUUCAUCUGUCCACUCCGACCUUACCCGCCUCUGAAUGCAAAGCCGUCUGUGGAAGCUGUCGACGAAUAUGUGUAGCCCCUGAAUGAAGUAUCAACCCUGUGUUCGCUUGAGCUUAAAGCUGACGUCCUUCGCAGAAGCCCGGCUCUCUUUCUCCGUGUGUGUGUGUGUGCCUCUUUCCAUUUGGUUUCUCAGGUCAAAUUUCCAAAUUCUCAAUAUGGUGUCGGGAAUGGGCUAACCUGUGAUGGAACAGAAUCCAGUCACUUAGAUCAACAGCAGCAAGUUUGUUUACCCCUAAUGCAUCACUUGGCGUGGGUUCGAAGUUAAGUAAUUUCAGUUCCCUUAAUCUUCAUGCCAUGGCUUUAAAGUAACUACUUUUGCUGCAUGUACAUCAGCUCUGCAUAACCUGUUUGUACAUUAUGUGCGUAAAAAUGUUUGUACAUUAUGUGCGUAAAAAUGUUAAGUUGCAAUGCCAAGCUGUUGGGGAGUUUGUGGGGUUGGGGCGCAACAAUCUCUUUGUCUUUUCAGAGUUCUUUCAGCAUAAAUCACUCGACUCGCAACUUAAGCCUCAGCGCCAGGUCAUUGGAUGCCUUGAUUCUGCCACCCUAGUUUAAUUUCUUGGAAGAAUUGUGCAUCAGAGAGGAAGAGUAGCCUGGUGAUUUAAGUUUCCACUGUCGGCGGUAAACAAUCAUUUCUUCUAUUGGAUGAGCAUCGUUAAAUGUUUUGGGGUUUAUGGGAGGGAGGGGGUGGGAAGCCUCAUUGUCCUGUUUUUUUCCCUCCCUUAGUACAGCAUUGACAGUUCGUUUGACCCGAGCUUCCAGUCCAGUAUCGUUUGUGAGGGGGGGAAAAUGGAUUUGCGGUCCAGCGUUGCGUUCCACCAUAGAUGCUGGUAUCAUGUUUAAUGAAAGGGUACUGUGGAGUCAAUCAUCCACCCAUACAUUAUAGUUGCGGGAAAUGCUGGGGUGCGGGGGGCAACCAGUUGUCUUCUAGUUUCAGCCUCGUGUCCAGACUUAACCCCAUGCAGUGACAAGAUCACAUAGCGGCCAGGUCUUCAUGGGUUUUCUUUUCCUGGAGGAACAAGCUUCUAGCUUUGUUCCUCCAGGUUUUGCUUUUGCCCGCAGUACAGUAACAAAAAGCAAAAGACUCCGGUGGUGGCACUCCUGACUUUUGUCGGGAUGGGGUUCAAUUCCCUGCGGUGUCUUGCUUUAGCAGUGUGCUGUGGCUAAACUAAAAUCUACUUGGUGUUGAAAAAGUUACUUUAGUCUCCACUAAAUUGCCAUAAAUCCACCAUAUAACGGGGGUUGGUUACCUUACAAAACUGGGUCAAACCGAAGUAGCUGUCGGGGGGUCUUUUCUGGACCCUGGUAGGACAACCAAAUAAAUAAAUAAAAAAAAGUGAAUAGCCCAAAAUACAGGACAUUCAUAGCCCAUAACGGUCUCAACCAGGUGUGGGCAGCUUAAAUGAGAGUGGGGGCCAUGAGACUUUCCUUGGCUGGUUUCUCUUACUGCAGCUUUCUUCAUUGUCACUAGGCUUUUCACCAGGGGUUUGUUUUUUUUUGGGGGGGGGGGGGGUUUCAGGCCGCAUUGUACUUAUGCUUUCCCUCAGAGGGCCUUUAGAACAGUGAAACCAUUCAUUCAUUAUAAAUGAUUAAUCAUCACCAAAACAUUACUAUUACACAACACAUUGAGGCAUAAGUUUUGAAUUAAGACAAGGCUAAUAGUUUAUUCAAGUAUUGUUUACUGUCAGAAGGGUUUGGUAAAAGAAAAAUGCAAUAUCUCGACAUGACAAUUUGGGUACAGAUUUUAGCAAAAAUCACAGAAGUUGACAAACAUGAUUUGCUUUCGCGGUUCACAUAAAAUGAUGCGUCGGGCCGCAUCCGGGCCUUGAGUUUGACACCUAUGCUUUACACGAUCAGGAUUUUGGGGGCGAUCAAGUUUAUAAAAAAAAAAAAAAAACGAUCACCAGAUGGAGCAAUGUAUGUGUCCAUUUAAAUGAUGUGUUCAUUUCCUGUGUAUACUGUAUUUUCACGACCAUAAGGCGCACCGUAUUAAAAGGUGCAGUCUCAGUUACGGUCUUUCUGUAUUUAACACAUGCAUAAGACGCAGCGUAUUCAGCGCAGGCAUGGUAGAACAUACGCUAGCUUAAAAGAUAAGGUAGCAUGCAUGCUAGCGUAUAUUUUUAAAAAGGCGGCGGGAGCAAAACUGAAUUCGGUUGUACUUGAUUGAAGUAUUUAACAAUGUACUAACAAUAUUUUUUUUAUCAAUUCUCAUCCACAAAUCAAAGUCCUCAUCUUCUGUAUCCGAAAUGAACAGCUGGGCAAGUUCUCCAUCAAACAUGCCGUGUUCCCUAUCAUUUUAAUACUAUAUGCUAUCAAGCAGGCAACAAAAUGUUAUGGAGCCUAGCAAGCUAGUGCUAGCACUAAUGGUUCUAAGCAAACAUGCAGGCAUUGUCGAAUCAAGCUCUCAAGUUUUUGUGAGAAGUAAUUUAAUUACAAUAAAGUAAUUCAAUUAUAGUAAGUUAGCACCCAUUAUUUCUGUCAUGUAAUGUUGGUUUGACUUGACUGAUUAGAAUACAUGAUCUGACUAGAACAGUGAUUUCCAAGCUUUAUGGAGCCAUGGCACAUUUUACAAUCUCACGGCACACCAAAAAACAAAAAUGUCACAAAAAGUGGAUAAAUUACUGUAUGUACUUCCUGUCAUCUAAUAGAUGACCAUUUGUUCUGUCACUAUGCCUCACUGGCAUAGCUAUUGUAAAUAGAUUUUUUUAGCAAUUAAGUACACAAUUAUAUACAAUAAAUGAACAAGUAAUUUAAAUACACAUUGCUCCAUCUUGUGAUCUGAUCGGUUAUCGUUUUUUUGACCAGGUUGUUCAGCAUUCUAGCGGGGGAGAAGAAGCCUGAGGAAUGGAGGGACAGUGUGCUGGUGCCCAUCUUUAAGAACAAGGGUGAUGUGCAGAGCCGUGGGAACUAUAGAGAAUUAAGGCGGUUGAUGAGCCACACAUUGAAGUUAUGGGAAAGAGUAGUGGAGGCUAGACUCAGGACAACUAUCUGUAGGCAACAGUAUGAUUUCCUAGAAAGAGUAGCGCAAAUGCCUUGGUGUUUAUGGAGAAGUACAGAGGCCAGAAGGAGCUACAUUGUGUCUUUGUAGAUCUAGCGAAAGCCCAUCUAUCUGUCUGUGUUUCUAUCUAUCUAGCUCCUGUAUAUAGACAUAUAGCUGAUAUACACUAUAUUGCCAAAUGUAAUUGGCUCACCUGCCUUGAUUCACAUGAACUGCAGUGACAUCUCAUUCCUAAUCCAUAAGGGUUCAAUAUGACGGCCCAUUGCAGCUAUAUAACAACUUAAACUCUUCUGGGAAGGCUCUCCACAAGUAUUAGGAAUGUGUUUAUCGGACUUUUUGAUAGACUUUACCUUUUUGAUAGACUACACCGAUUUUUAUCAGCUGAUCGGUAUCGGACAAUAUUUAGCAUUUUAUGCUGAUCGGCUUUAAUGUCACCAUUCGCCGAUUGAUCGGCUCCGCAAAAGACAUUACGUCCGCGUCGCUGCGUGCACAGUAUAUUUGAAUCCAAAGGCUAGUUUAUUUUUUAGCCUUGUCGCGUGUCUUUCGACGUAGUACUGUAAAUAUCUGACGACCAAUGAAGUUAUUUAAAAAAAAAAAAAAUAAAAUAAAAAAAAAAAACCAUGUCGGCGGUGUGGAACAGGCAACACGUAAUGCCCCGGAUCAGACUACAAGACAAAUUUGCUCUUUCACGAUUGCACUGUCAGACUAAUGCAAUAAAAUCUUGUAUUCCGAUACCACAGCAUCCCGUUUUUUAUGAUCAUUGGGCUUUAUCUUGUCAACUAAAAUGCGACCAGAUACACUCGUUAACGUGGCGACGACAAGAGUGGAGUGCGGCAACUUUGUAUUAGAAAAUGUUAUGUAGCCUAGCAAACUAGUGCUAGCACGAACGGUUGGACGUAAACAUGCCGCAGUUCUGUCGAAUCAUGCUGUAAAGUUUCUGUGUGGGGGAAGUCAUUUAAUUAAAAAUGUAUUUACAGUAAGUUAGCACCCAUUAUUUCUGUCACGUAAUGUUGGUUCUACCUGACUGAUUAGAAUACACGAUAUGACUAGAGCAGUGAUUUCCAACCUUACGGAGUCAAGGAACAAAUUUUACAAUUGAAAAAUCUCACGGCACACCAACAAACAAAAAUGUCACAAAAAGUGGAUACAUUAAUUACUGUAUUUGUUUCCUGCCAUCUAAUAGAAGACCAUUCAUUUGUUCUGUCACUGGCAUAAAUAGAGGAACAAAGAUAGAUUAGCCAUCCAACCAUUUUCUGAGCCGCUUCUCCUCACUAGGGUCGCGGGCGUGCUGGAGCCUAUCCCAGCUAUCAUCGGGCAGGAGGCGGGGUGCACUCUGAACUGGUUGCCAGCCAAUCGCAGGGCACAUACAAACUAACAACCAUUCGCACGCACAGUCACACCUACGGGCAAUUUAGAGUCUUCAAUUAAUGCAUGUUUUUGGGAUGUGGGAGGAAACCGGAGUGCCCGGAGAAAACCCACGCAGGCACGGGGAGAACAUGCAAACUCCACACAGGCGGGGCCGGGGAUUGAACCCGGGUCCUCAGAACUGUGAGGCAGACGCUCUAACCAGUUGGGCCACCGUGCCCAGGUCAUUUGAAGAGACAUUCCUCCAUCUUGUUAUCGUUUUUGUAAACUCACUGAUCGGUGAUCGGCCCCAAUAAUCCUGAUCGUGUAAAGCCUACUUUUUGACCAUUGCCUCAGAAGCACAUUUGUGAGGUCACACACUCUGAUGUUGGAUGAAAAGGCCUGGCUCUAAUUCAUCCCAAAGGUUUUCUAUCAGGUUGAGGUCAGGACUCUGUGCAGGCCAGUCAAAUUCAUCCACAUGAUACACUGUCAUCCAUGUCUUUAUAGACCUUUCUUUGUGCACUGGUGCACAGUCAAUGUUGAAAGAGGAAGGUGCUAGCUCCAAACUGUUCCCACAAAGUUGGGAGCAUGGAAUUGUCCAAAAUCUAUUGGUUCCUUUCACUGGAACUAAGGGGCCACGCCCAGUUCCUGAGACACAACCCCACACCAUAAUCCCCCCUCCACCAAACUUUACACUUGGCACAAUGCAGUCAGACAAGUCCAUCGGAUUGUCAGAUGGAGAAGCGCGAUUCUUCACUCCAGAGAAUGCGUCUACUGCUCUAGAGUCCAGUGGCAGCGUGCAUUUCACCACUGCAUCCGACGCUUUGCAUUGCAAUUGGUGGGAUGUAUGGCUUGGAUGCAGCUGCUCAGCCAUGGAAACUCAUUCCAUCAAGCUCUGUGCGCACUGUUCUUCAAUUAAUCUGAAGGCCACAUAAAGUUUGGAGGUCUGUAGCGAUUGACUGCAGAAAGCUGGCGACCUCUUCACACUUUGCGACUUUCCACUGCCCUGUGCUUCACGGAGACAUGGCUUUGUGAACGCGUCCCCGGUGGCUCCGUAAUCCUUCCGGGUUUCCAACUACACCUGGCAGACCGCGUCACGGAGUUAUCGGGGAAAACAAAAGGAUUUUCUGUUAAAGAGCAGAAUUCAUGGUUCCAUCAAUCAAAGCAAGUUGUCCAGGUCCUGAAGAAGCAAGCAGCCCAAGACCAUCACACCACCUGGUACCACCAUGUUUGACUGUUGGUAUGAUGAUGUUCUUCUGAAAUGCUGUGCUACCUUUAUGCCAGAUGUAAUGAGACCAGAGGCAGGUAGGGAUGCGUUACAUUUACUCAGUUACAUUUACUCAAGUAAAGGUUAAGAUAAAUUGUACAGAGUAGUUUUAAUCCAGCAUACUUUUUACUUUUACUCAAGUUUGAAGAAAGGAGUAGAAGAAACGGUACUUUUUCUCCAUUACAAUGAUCUACAUGCCGGUCGCUACUUUUAUUUAUCAUCCAUCUGUUCAUUUUCCAUACCACUUAUACUCACUCGUGUCGGCAUGUUGGAGUCUAUUGCUUAUCUUAUUUUUCGUGUGCAAUCUGUUUAGACUACGACUUCCGCUUUUGGCGCUGUUUGCGCCAAUACAACGUAACCACUAGUGACGUUUAACUCUAGUUCACCAAUCAACCGCCCAAGUAAUCCAUACAUACAAAGAAAGUAGAACAAAUAAGAUCAGAAAUCAAGUUGUGAAAUGACACAGGGAAAAAGUAUUGAACACAUGAAGAAAGGGAGGUGCAAAAAGGCAUGGGAAGCCAAGACAACACCUAAAGUCUAUCAAUAAUCAGACAGCAAUCCAGCCCCUUGUCAGUGCAAAUGAAUAUCAGCUGGUUCAGUCCUAAUUGAUGGCCUACAAAAAGGUCUCUUUGCCAAGUUGUGAGUCGAGACACAUUUCUUGAUGGGUAAGAGCAGAGCUGUCUCAAGACCUUCGCAAACUAAUUGUUGCAAAACAUAACGAUGACAUUGGUUACAGGCACAUAUCUAAGCUUCUGAACAUUCCAGUGAGCAUGGUUGGGGCCAUAACACGCAAGUGGAAAGCAAAUCAUACCACCAUAAAUUUGCCUCGAUCAGGUGCUCCUCACAAGACUUCUGACAGAGGAGUGAAAAGAAUAAUCCGAAGAGUUGUCCAAGAUCCAAGGACUACCUGUGGAGAGCUUCAAAAAGACCUGGAAUGAGCAGGUACUGUUGUCACAAGGAAAAAAGUGAGUAAUGUACUCCACCACCAUGGCCUGCAUCCAUGCUCACCACGCAAGACCCCCAUUGCUGGGGAAAAAAAAAAAAAAAAAAAGCAUGUAAAAGCUUUAAAGUUGAACAACAUUUGGACAAGUCAGUUAAAUACUGGGAGAAUAUAGUGUGGUCGGAUGAGAGCAAAAUUGAACUGUUUGGAUGCCAUAAUGUACAUGUUUGGAAGAGUAAUGGCAUUACACCUCACCCUAAAAACACCAUAACAACAGUGAAGUUCAGAGGUGGGAACGUGAGGGUGUGGGGCUGCUUUUCAGCAAAUGAUAUUGGUAAACUUCACGUUAUUGAAGGAAGGAUGAAUGUGCAAAUGUACCGAGACAUUCUUGACACAAAUCUGCAAGGGUGAUGAAAAUUAUACGAAGGUGGACAUUUCAGCAGGAUAAUGAUCCAAAACAUACUGCCAAGGAAACUCCCAAUUAGUUUCAAAGAAAAAAAAUAAAGCUGCUAGAAAGGCCCAGCCAAUUACCUGAUUUAAAUCUAAUUGAAAAUCUAUGGAAAUAACUGAAACUCAAGGCCAAUAAAAUAAGCCCACGGAACCUUCAUGAUUUGAGGACUGCUUGUGUGGAGGAAUGGGCCAAAAUCACACCAGGGCAAUGCAUGCGACUAGUUUCUCCAUACAGGAGGUGUCUUGAAGCUGUCAUUGCAAACAAAGGCUUUUGUAUAAACUAUUAAAUAAAUGCCAUUUGGUGUGUUCAAUACUUUUCCCUGUCUCAUUUCACAUUGUUACACACGCUCCUUCAGGAGAUGGAGAAGAUGCUCCUGAAUGUCCUGCUCUUUUCCAUCUGCACUUUUACAUUUCCUUUCCUGUAUGAAAUGGAAACAACACUUUGUGGUACAAAGCAGUUUGUAAAGUUUAUAUUUAUUAAUAUCAAUAAUGAAUUUUAUUUUGGGUGCCUUUCAUGUCACCUUAGGGUUAAAAGAACAAUUUAAAAUUAAUACAAAAUUAACAAUAAAAUACAGCAGCACAGUACACAAGAAUCAAUACAAGACGAAAGUAGUUAAAACCAAACCACUUAUGAUGAAUAUGCCUGUUAAAAUAUUGAAAUCAGAGCCCAGACUCAAAAAUAAAAAGUAUGGAAUAUAGUACUAGUCAUGGUGAAAAGCAUCCCAUAAUUGCAUAUACAGGUGGUAUACUUGUUCGAAAAUACAUUUCUAUUAAAGUUUUAUGUACAUCCCCCCCCCCAGUCUUUUGAGCAGGGGCAGUGGCAACAGAUGUAGCCUCCUGUUCUCCUUGACACUCCUGUUCGUCCUCAUAUGUCAGCUUCUUCUCCAAGAGCAGAGGAGAUCACAAAGUGCUUGGCAGAAACGAUCGUGGAAGUCCUGCAACCUCUUUCCAUGGCAUCGGACAAGUUGGACUGAUGCCCUAAUUGAAAUGCACAGGUACUCAGAGGAAAGGCCAGUUCCUCUGGAUCAGGAUCCACUACUUCAGUGAAAAAAACAAUCAACGCACAUUCCCCUCUCUGAGUAAAUUUGCCCAAAAAAAGUACCUGGCAAUGGAUGCAACAUCAGUGCCAGCCGAGAUGAUGUUUUUCAAAAGCUGUGCAGUUAGUAAGUCGCAUGCAAAGUGCGUUAAAAACAAAAAAUGUCAACAUGAUACUGUUGAACAGAAACCUGUAACCUUUUUUAGCUAAAGGCUUUGUGGAUUGUUUAGUUGUUUACACUGUAUUGUAUUAUUAUUAUUUUAUUUUUUUUACCAGUUUUUGUUUUUGUUUUGAUUUGUUCAAAAACAGAAAAUAAUGCACUGAAGGGUAGAAAUGUUUUAUUUUUGUAUUGGAUUCCCUGAACACACAUUGGACUUGAAAAAUAAUUGGUUUUAAAUGUUUUAUAAGUUUUAUUUAUAAUAUUUGUUGUGGAGUUAAAACAAAAUCCAGAAAAGAAGUGCAAUGUAGGAGAAUUAAAUUUUUGAACAGCAGCUUCUGAAAAAGUACCUGGAAAAAAAUAAUUUGGUUUCCGGUGAUCAGUUGUGUGUGAUCACUGUGCAGUGUUUUUAUUCCCUCACCCCUCCAAAAAAAAAAUAAUCCAGACAUGACAAUGUAUGGGGAACAAUUGUUUUGUUACUGUUCGAUUGCUUCUGAAAGAAAAUAUUUGGAUGAUAAAAUAUUUUCUAUUUAACAAUAAACUUUGUCCUAAUCCUG
This is a long non-coding RNA of Phyllopteryx taeniolatus (common seadragon), 11723 nucleotides long. RefSeq lists it as uncharacterized. The transcript is spliced from 3 exons. The record is from RefSeq and is a predicted model, not a curated record. NCBI's taxonomy places the organism in Eukaryota, Metazoa, Chordata, Actinopteri, Syngnathiformes, Syngnathidae.